CCUACGGGAGGCAGCAGUGGGGAAUAUUGCGCAAUGGGGGAAACCCUGACGCAGCAACGCCGCGUGCGGGAUGAAGGCUUUCGGGUUGUAAACCGCUUUCAGCAGGGAAGAUAAUGACGGUACCUGCAGAAGAAGCCCCGGCUAACUACGUGCCAGCAGCCGCGGUAAUACGUAGGGGGCAAGCGUUAUCCGGAUUCAUUGGGCGUAAAGCGCGCGCAGGCGGGCCGCUAAGCGGGACCUCUAAUCUUGGGGCUCAACCUCAAGCCGGGUCCCGAACUGGCAGCCUCGAGUGCGGUAGGGGUAAGCGGAAUUCCCGGUGUAGCGGUGGAAUGCGCAGAUAUCGGGAAGAACACCGAUGGCGAAGGCAGCUUACUGGGCCGACACUGACGCUGAGGCGCGAAAGCUAGGGGAGCGAACAGGAUUAGAUACCCCUGUAGUC
Molecule: ribosomal RNA, 439 nt
Filed under: uncultured bacterium
Lineage: Bacteria
Description: partial 16S ribosomal RNA
Rfam family: Bacterial small subunit ribosomal RNA
Source: RNAcentral